CAUUCAUACAUGUCAGUUAGCUAGAACACUGGUGAUAUAGAAAACCAUGCACAUCUUUCUGCUUGGGUGUGCAAGAUGCAUUGGCAACAAUGCUACGGUUGGCACAUGCAUGCAUUUACGUAUGAUGCGUGAAGCUUUGAUAGAUGGAUCAGGAUGUGCAAAGGUGAUUUUGCGUAAUAAUAUAUGAAGGUUUGCAUUGCUUAGGAUGUGCCUGGCUCCCUGUAUGCCACUCAUCUAGAGCAACGACAGCUUGGUAGGGUUGCCUAUAAGAUGGAUGGCGUGCAUGGUGCCAAGCAUAUCUCGCCAUUUUUGUUGUAGCUCAUUUU
This 326-nucleotide long non-coding RNA is filed under the name Zea mays. RNAcentral describes it as "MIR160cHG, transcript variant 1 (LOC115029013)". The stretch from base 206 to 299 matches the Rfam family "mir-160 microRNA precursor family". The record is from RNAcentral. Lineage: Eukaryota; Viridiplantae; Streptophyta; Magnoliopsida; Poales; Poaceae.